UGCGUAGGUGGUAUGGCAAGUCAGAAGUGAAAACCCAGGGCUUAACUCUGGGACUGCUUUUGAAACUGUCAGACUAGAGUGCAGGAGAGGUAAGCGGAAUUCCUAGUGUAGCGGUGAAAUGCGUAGAUAUUAGGAGGAACAUCAGUGGCGAAGGCGGCUUACUGAACUGAAACUGACACUGAGGCACGAAAGCGUGGGAGCAAACA
This 206-nucleotide ribosomal RNA is filed under the name uncultured bacterium. RNAcentral describes it as "partial 16S ribosomal RNA". It matches the Rfam family "Bacterial small subunit ribosomal RNA", at positions 568 to 774 of the family's 1533-position model. The record is from RNAcentral.